ACAAAGCUGCUAAGCAGCUCCUGAGGAGAGCCAUGUGGCUGAUGAAAGACCUUAUCCUCUUGAGAUUUUGCCACAGAGAAUUCUCAGGAAUAAGGAUGUUUCAUCCCUUCCCCAAGAAAUUUUGCUGGUUGCUUAAAGAGCCCACUGGUUAUGAGCUCCACGUCUUGCAGAGGCGAGCAGCUGUCUCUGGAUAUCCUGUUUCCAGCAUUAAAAGAGGAAAGCAGGGAGAAGAACUUUGCGUUAAUGGACCAGACCUGUGACCUCCUAAGGCAUGAGAAGUAAAUUAAAAAGUAGCUAAUGACUUCGUUAUCAUGUGUGUGAGCAGGUCAACAUGAAAAAUAGCAAGGAUGGUAAAAUAGAUGACAAGUCAUGAAUAUUGCCGUGCAUGAUGUUUCAGAAUUCGACCGAGUCCAGGGAAUUUAUUCAGAAGUAUGAUUCAUUUUCAGGU
This is a non-coding RNA of Taeniopygia guttata (zebra finch), 448 nucleotides long. The record is from RefSeq and is a predicted model, not a curated record. NCBI's taxonomy places the organism in Eukaryota, Metazoa, Chordata, Aves, Passeriformes, Estrildidae.